This 77-nucleotide small RNA is filed under the name Sinorhizobium meliloti 2011. Its description in RNAcentral is "putative ncRNA". Lineage: Bacteria; Pseudomonadati; Pseudomonadota; Alphaproteobacteria; Hyphomicrobiales; Rhizobiaceae. The record is from RNAcentral.
GUCGCGAGCGAAGUAGAGUGCCGCGUGCUGGAGCGAUCCGUCCUCGAAGAUCAGCUUCGGGCCGAUCGCGCCGAGGC